UAAUUUGAACCCAUUAUGUGGCCUAAUCCCUACAAAUAGCCCAAAAUUGAAAGAGCAAAAACUGAACCCUAGCACAAGUAAGCAAAACCCUCGCAACUCUCUGUUUUAGCAAAGAUAGCGCUGCCGCAGCUAAACUGAGCGACCUCUUUCCCUCAGAAAAUCAUGACAGAUGACACUCCUAAUGUUGUGAAGGACGAGGUUACAGAACUUGCAUCCUUCGAUCCUACUAAAAUGAAGAAGAAGAAGAAGAAGAAGAAGAUGGUUGUCAUGCAGGAUGGUAUAGACAAUUCUGUAGAUAAGCUUGCUGAAGAAAACUGAAACCUUCUCGGUCUCUGCAGGGCUUGAUAGUACUUUCACUGGUUUGAAAAAGAAGAAGGAGAAACCAAAGCCAGUAUUUUGAAUGAAGAGAAUGUGGAUGCUGGAGAAGAUUUGGAUGAUCAUGUUGCAGAGUAUGAAGAUUGAGAAGGACUUGUGCUGCAACAACAGCUUUAUCCAUGGGAUGGGAGCUACUGUGAUUAUGAAUAUGAGAAGGCAUAGUAUGCAUUUGAGUGGAGGCUUUUUUUCUUUUAAUUUAUGUGAUUUCUGUUUUCUAUGUUAUUUUUUCUUUGGCUGUGCUUUUCACUAUAUGUGCCAAUUAAUUGAUGCUCAUGUAGUAUCUAUAUAUCCUUUUUAGGCUCUAUAGUAUAUAUAAAAUGUAAACCGGAGGGAGACCUUAUAAAGAAUAAGGUGCACUUAAGCAUUAAAACAUGGGCAUAAUAUGUUUCUGAAUACUUAGAUGAAUUGAUAUCAUGUCUACAAUUCCUAGGCAACACCAUUCCUUGCCCAUCUUUUCUUAGUUGCAUAACCAACGGAGGUAUUCUCUGAACGAGCAUGCAAAAAAGUGUAAGCUGGCUAACUGAAUAUCAUGAGCCUACUAGGACUGAAUAAAAGAAUAAUUCAGCUGCAGUUAGGGAGUCAGGGGGCCCACUGGCCAACCAAAUUAUAUGAAUGUACCAGAAACAAGUAGUAGAUUAAUGCAGCCGGCGAUAUUUAAUUUCUCUAAUUGUGUAUUUUUAAGUUCAAGUUUAUUCAAUUAGUUACUACAAGAAAUUUAGCUCGGAAUUGUUGAACUUUAAAUAAUUAAAGCCUUCUAUUUGAGUAGCUCAACCUCUAGGGUAUUGUACUGACCAUGAAGUAAAAGAUUCUUUGAUAAUUUAAUGACAUUGAUUUUAUGCAAUGUAAAAAAAUUAAAUAAAGAGAAAAAACAUCUUUCCAUACUCUGAUUCUUCUAGAUAAUUUCUAGAUGACCAUUUGUAAGUAUGGUAAUGCGGUCAAUGAUGAGUAAUGAUUUGCCUACAUUGUCAGAUUGUCUAAUUCAUGACUGAGACAUAUAUCUCUGAGGCCUUAUCAGUACCUUUAUUCUAAUUUUGUGAUGUUGAUUUACAAAGUGUUGUACGGCAACUGUUGCAACUUCUGCUGUUAUUGCCAUGAAUCUCUAGCUGAAUUCGUCACUUGCCCAAUCUUAUCUUGAGGCCAAGAAUGAUUUUUAAUGAUUCUGUAAAUUGUCUUAUCCCAUGUCAGUUAUGUUCAGUUGUUUUGGGGCUGCCUUGGUACCCCUUAAAAUGUUAAUAGUGAAGAUUGAUGAAAGUUGGGUCCCAGUAGAAGCUUGUCAGAAUUUUCAUACAUUUGCCAGAAUUUGCAUCAUAACAUUCACCUUGAUGUAAAAAUAGGAAAUUGGCAUUUACUGAGCUGCCUUGUUUAAUUUCCUGUGGUAUCAUUUUGCUAGUCUUUUCUGAUCUUGUUUUAUCGGCAGUGUGGUUCUGGACGAUCUUCUAGAGCUAUGUUGCUAUGUUAGCAGUAUAAAAUGUGUUGGUAUAUGAGGCUUCUAAAGCUGAGAUGUGCUGCUGAAAAUCUUAUGGGACAUGUUCUGCAGCCUCUACCGUAAAUUUUACUCCUGAUGUUUAUUCUAUUCCGCAAGUCCUGAACUAUGGUUCUGUUAAUCCUGUUUCAAAUAAAGCAGUAUUGGUUUCGGUUGAUUGAUCAUCAUUUCUUCCAUUGCGUAAUGCACCUUGUUUUUCUCCCAGUAAGAAUUAGUUGAUUGGGGCAAAAGGUCAAAGAGGCCCUUUAUACAAUUUGGGGAAAGACGAUUAAGCCCCAAUGCUUCAUUUUGUCUCAAUUUGGCCUUUUACUUUUUGAAAAAGUCGAAUUAAACCUAAAUUGAUAACGGUCCUAUUAUUGUUGGCGUCUAUUUUUUUUUUAAUGAUAAAAUGACAUUUAGAACUAUAUAUUAUUUAAUUUCUAUCUCUAAAAUAAUAAUAAUAUAUGACACAUUAAUAAAUGAAAUAAAAAUUAAUACCUAUUCUCACUUUUUCUUUCACCUCUUCACAUUUCUGCCAUCCAAAUAAACUCAAAUUCAACAAGAAUAAGCCAACCAAUUCCACCUCAUAAUUCCCGACACCCAAGUCCAAAGCAGUUUAUUUAAAUUUGUCCUCUGAAGCAUACUUUGGCUUAUAUUUCUUGAUAUCAUCAUUUAUUGAUUUAUAAAUUAUUAUAUAUCCAAAGCAUAUACUCCAGAUGAUAAUCCCAAGUUCUAGGUGUAUCAUUUCUAGUAAAUCUUUUGCUAUUUAUGUUUAUAUAUGCAUUUCUAGUCCAUCUCUCAUUAUUUUAUAACAAUUUUCUUGGUUAUUCUGAUCAAGAAUGGAAGAUUUUAGAUUGAAGUUGCUCUUAUUUUCUAUGGGAAUUGUUCUUCUUCUCUGUUGUACUGAAGCCCAAAAUAAUACAUAUAUAUAUGACCCGCUAAAGAAUGUGAAUCUGAGUCCAUUUUGGCAAUGGUUAAGUGCCUGGCAAUGCAUGCAAAAUUUUUCUAAAGCAUGCACAUCGCCUAAGGACGUAUUAACACUUGAUGGAGUACUAAAUGUAAGCACCGCUGAGAUUGGAGACUACUGCAGCAAAGGGUGUGCAGACCAUACAAAGAAUGUGCUCACUUGUAUCUCUUAUGUAAAACGAGACUUUUGGUUCUCCAACGGGGCCUCCGUUCGGAACCUCACCGAUUCCAUUAAUGACGGAUGUGCCACCAAUUCGACUAUCAAUACAAAAUUCAAAAGCAGUGCAACAAGGACACUUCAGAAUCUGUUGGUUCCCUUGGUGGCAUCUCUAGUAACAGCAAGUAUUGUAAUCAUCUUCAAUAUGUGAGACUUUUCCCGUCUUAUGUUGUUGAUGGAAAGAAGCCAACAAUAAAACUAUAAUAACUGCACCUUUUGUACUAAAUAAUUCAUGUGCUAUGUUCUUUCGUGGAUUCACUAUGUAAUUGCUUGUUCUUUUCCA
Molecule: long non-coding RNA, 3303 nt
Organism: Ricinus communis (castor bean)
Lineage: Eukaryota; Viridiplantae; Streptophyta; Magnoliopsida; Malpighiales; Euphorbiaceae
Exons: 9
Source: RefSeq, a predicted model, not a curated record